UACGAAGGGGGCUAGCGUUGCUCGGAAUCACUGGGCGUAAAGGGUGCGUAGGCGGGUCUUUAAGUCAGGGGUGAAAUCCUGGAGCUCAACUCCAGAACUGCCUUUGAUACUGAAGAUCUUGAGUUCGGGAGAGGUGAGUGGAACUGCGAGUGUAGAGGUGAAAUUCGUAGAUAUUCGCAAGAACACCAGUGGCGAAGGCGGCUCACUGGCCCGGUACUGACGCUGAGGUGCGAAAGCGUGGGUAGCGAACAGG
Molecule: ribosomal RNA, 253 nt
Filed under: uncultured bacterium
Lineage: Bacteria
Description: partial 16S ribosomal RNA
Rfam family: Bacterial small subunit ribosomal RNA
Source: RNAcentral